GGUCUUCGGAGGCUCUGAGUGCCGGUUACGUAACGGCGGCUCCGAGCGCCUGGGGUCCUCCCAGAGCUCCUGGGCUCGAGCUCUUUCCAUGAGCACCUCGGGCCUUCUCGUGGCUACCUCUGUGCUUCCCUGAGACCUGAUUUGUGAGCCCUUUUUGCUGGUUUUCGCCAGAGGUUUUUUACCAAAUCAAAAUUUCAACCAUUGACUAACACAGGGGUUGAAGGAAGAGGACGGGGAAGUUCAGUGAUGGAUGGGAACAACAGUCUUAGAUGAUAGGGAUAAUUAAGAGGGCAUAGUUGGGGACUUGUGGUUAUUUUGCACAGCUCUCUACUCUCAGUCCAAUGUUUGGAAAUGAGGAUGCUCCACGUGCUACCCUAAAGAACCAUUUAUAGAGGAUAUUAACCAGAAGGUUACAUACUACAAUCUGGAAGGAAUAAUCUCAAUAUCAUGAGUGCCAAUUAAGUGCCUCAGAGAAUACAAAGGUGACCAUAACUGGAAUGCUUAACAAGUACCAACUGAAGAAAUGUAAUGAAAAUUAAAGUUUAAUUUGUUUUC
Molecule: long non-coding RNA, 555 nt
Filed under: Homo sapiens (human)
Lineage: Eukaryota; Metazoa; Chordata; Mammalia; Primates; Hominidae
Description: uncharacterized LOC107985203, transcript variant 1 (LOC107985203)
Source: RNAcentral